This 860-nucleotide ribosomal RNA is filed under the name Chlamydephorus sexangulus. RNAcentral describes it as "partial 16S ribosomal RNA". It matches the Rfam family "Archaeal large subunit ribosomal RNA", at positions 1574 to 2689 of the family's 2987-position model. The record is from RNAcentral. Lineage: Eukaryota; Metazoa; Mollusca; Gastropoda; Stylommatophora; Chlamydephoridae.
UUCCCGAAAGGAGAAGAGCUAACCUUAUAAAUGUUUUAGCUUUAAAUAUUAAUGUUAAAGAUAUUAUAAUAAGAUAUAGGGUUAGGGGCGAAAUACCUUCAAUUCUUCUGAUAUCUGGUUUCUAAUGAAAUGCAUUUAGUGCAGGAGGGAGUCUGAACUAAGAGGCGCCAAGGCCUCCUAGAGGAUUUAAACAUAGAGGUUUAUCUAUUCUUUGAAGCAAGAUUCCCCUGGUUAUUAACCUAUAAAUUCUUGUCUUAUAUUUAAAUAUAGAAAUUAGAAUCUCCUGUAAUAACCUUCGGAGUUUAUUUUGUUUAAAUUAGUAUUAAUGGAAAUCCUUUAAAAGGAACUCGGCAAACUUUCCUUUCGUCUGUUUAUCAAAAACAUUGCCUAUUGUUCUAAUAAUAGGUAUUAUCUGCCCAGUGUAUAUAUAUAAACGGCCGCAGUACCCUGACUGUGCUAAGGUAGCAUAAUAAAUUGGCCUUUAAUUGGGGUCUUGAAUGAAUGAGAGUACGAAGAGUGGCUGUCUUUUUGAGGAUAGAUAGAAGUUCCUACAUGAGGUGAAAAUUCCUCUUAGAAUAAUUAUUAGACAAGAAGACCCUUAGAGCUUUAAAUAUACAGGUUUUUCUUUCAAUUUAAAUCUGGCUUUUCUGUUGGGGCGACAAGGUAGCAUAUAUAAACCUACCUGAAUUAAGUUUUCUUGAUAGAUUUAUCGUGAAAGAUGAAGCUACCUAAGGGAUAACAGCGUAAUAGAUUAUUCUGUUUACGACCUCGAUGUUGGAUUAGGUAUUAAGGUUUUUAAAAGAUCCCUUAAUUAGUUCUGUUCGAACAUUUUAACCUACAUGAUCUGAGUUCAGACCGGC